This 483-nucleotide ribosomal RNA is filed under the name uncultured bacterium. RNAcentral describes it as "partial 16S ribosomal RNA". It matches the Rfam family "Bacterial small subunit ribosomal RNA", at positions 28 to 507 of the family's 1533-position model. The record is from RNAcentral.
GACGAACGCUGGCGGCGUGCUUAACACAUGCAAGUCGAACGCUGAAGCUCAGCUUUUGUUGGGUGGAUGAGUGGCGAACGGGUGAGUAACACGUGAGUAACCUGCCCCCUUCUUUGGGAUAACGCCCGGAAAUGGGUGCUAAUACUGGAUAUUCACUGGUCUUCGCAUGGGGGUUGGUGGAAAGGGUUUUUCUGGUGGGGGAUGGGCUCGCGGCCUAUCAGCUUGUUGGUGGGGUGAUGGCCUACCAAGGCUUUGACGGGUAGCCGGCCUGAGAGGGUGACCGGUCACAUUGGGACUGAGAUACGGCCCAGACUCCUACGGGAGGCAGCAGUGGGGAAUAUGGCACAAUGGGCGCAAGCCUGAUGCAGCGACGCCGCGUGAGGGAUGGAGGCCUUCGGGUUGUGAACCUCUUUCGCUCAUGGUCAAGCCGCAACAAUGGUUGUGGUGAGGGUAGUGGGUAAAGAAGCGCCGGCUAACUACGUG